UGAGCAUGGAAUUCAUUUGCAUAGUUUCAUUACAUAAUCAUGAGAAUGUAGUUAUCCUCUUUGAAUUUGAGGAUUUAUUUUCAUUUGUGUGACUCAAUUUGUUGAACUUUCAAGUUGGAUUUGACCUUAUUUGUAGUGUUGAGUAUUGUCAUUGACAUUGAUGAAAAGAAAUUUUUCUAAAGGUUAGGUCUUGAUCAUUUAUUUGUAUCCCAAAAUUGUGUUUGCUGUUGCCUGUUGUUAUAUUGUGGAGUUGCUUUUUAAUAUUGAACAAUAGACAAGUCAUUAAUCUUGUAAGUUGAUGAACGGACUAUGUUGCUCUGGAAAAUGAGUCAUUAAUCUUGUGUUUGCAGUGGUUUUGAAAAUAUAUUGGGCGAUGGAAUAAAAUUAAGAUACAGCAUACACAAAAUUUGUGAUAAUCAACUAUUCUUUUCAGGAAUGAGAAGGAACUCGACUUAAAGCCAUGAUGAAAGGAUUUUUUUUCCCCAAUGGCUUUUUGAUAGUUAAGUCUUGCAAAGUAGGUUGCUCCUUAUUAGGCGAUUAGGAAUGGACAUCAGCAAUUAUGUAAACAUUUUUCCCUGACAAUGUUUGUGUAUAUAGUUUUUUACUUACAUAAGGAAAACCUGGUUUUACUUUCGGUAACUUUUUAAUAGUCUAUGUUGGAACAAAUUGUUGAUAUGGAAAUUUCUUUAAUUUGGUCUUUUAUUUCUUGAUGGUUCGGAGAAUGGCUGUUUACUUAUGGACAUCUGAAAUAGAAGAUAAUCACGGUUACAUGAUCAUGUUGGGACCGCUACCUAUUGAUUUGAAGCGUGAUAUCGUGCUAUUCAAUGGUGUUACAUCAAAACUAAAGAUCACAUUUUUUUUACAACAUUAAUGUGAUUUGAAUAUCA
RNAcentral lists this unclassified non-coding RNA (887 nucleotides) under Hevea brasiliensis (rubber tree). The record is from RNAcentral. Lineage: Eukaryota; Viridiplantae; Streptophyta; Magnoliopsida; Malpighiales; Euphorbiaceae.